RNAcentral lists this ribosomal RNA (252 nucleotides) under uncultured bacterium. RNAcentral describes it as "partial 16S ribosomal RNA". It matches the Rfam family "Bacterial small subunit ribosomal RNA", at positions 524 to 776 of the family's 1533-position model. The record is from RNAcentral.
UACAGAGGGGGCAAGCGUUAUUCGGAAUUAUUGGGCGUAAAGGGCGCGUAGGCGGCUUGGCAGUGGAUGGUGAAAUCCCUCGGCUUAACCGAGGAACUGCCGUCCAAACUGCUUCGCUUGAGACCGGGAGAGGUGAGUGGAAUUCCCAGUGUAGCGGUGAAAUGCGUAGAUAUUGGGAGGAACACCAGUGGCGAAGGCGGCUCACUGGACCGGUACUGACGCUGAUGCGCGAAAGCGUGGGGAGCAAACGGG